GCAAGUCGAACGAGAACGCUCCUUCGGGAGUUAUUAAAGUGGCGCACGGGUGAGUAACACGUAGAUAAUCUACCUAUGGUGUCUGGGAUAACUGACCGAAAGGUUUGCUAAUACCGGAUACGUUCACGACACCUCAAGGUGACGUGAAGAAAGAUGGCCUCUUCUUGAAAGCUAUCGCACCUAGAUGAGUUUGCGUACCAUUAGCUAGUUGGUGGGGUAAGAGCCUACCAAGGCUACGAUGGUUAGCGGGUCUGAGAGGAUGAUC
RNAcentral lists this ribosomal RNA (265 nucleotides) under uncultured bacterium. RNAcentral describes it as "partial 16S ribosomal RNA". It matches the Rfam family "Bacterial small subunit ribosomal RNA", at positions 57 to 305 of the family's 1533-position model. The record is from RNAcentral.